CGGAGGAAAGUAGGGGAUCGAAAGACCUUAUGCUUUUGGAGCGGCCGAUGUCUGAUUAGCUAGUUGGUAAGGUAAUGGCUUACCAAGGCAACGAUCAGUAGUUGGUCUGAGAGGACGACCAGCCACACUGGGACUGAGACACGGCCCAGACUCCUACGGGAGGCAGCAGUGGGGAAUUUUGGACAAUGGGCGCAAGCCUGAUCCAGCAAUGCCGCGUGAGUGAAGAAGGCCUUCGGGUUGUAAAGCUCUUUCAGUUGAGAAGAAAAGAUUGUAACUAAUAAUUGCAAUUCAUGACGGUAUCAACAGAAGAAGCACCGGCUAACUACGUGCCAGCAGCCGCGGUAAUACGUAGGGUGCGAGCGUUAAUCGGAAUUACUGGGCGUAAAGGGUGCGCAGGCGGUUCUGUAAGUCAGAUGUGAAAUCCCCGGGCUUAACCUGGGAACUGCGUUUGAAACUACAAAGCUAGA
This 467-nucleotide ribosomal RNA is filed under the name uncultured bacterium. RNAcentral describes it as "bacterial SSU rRNA". It matches the Rfam family "Bacterial small subunit ribosomal RNA", at positions 197 to 645 of the family's 1533-position model. The record is from RNAcentral.